AUGCUUGUUUCGACAGCACAUAAAAUUGAAAUGAUACAUAGAAGAUUAGUAUGACCCCUGAGCAGGGAUUAUUCACAAAUUAGAUCCAUAUUUUU
Molecule: small nuclear RNA, 95 nt
Organism: Cercocebus atys (sooty mangabey)
Lineage: Eukaryota; Metazoa; Chordata; Mammalia; Primates; Cercopithecidae
Source: Ensembl